UCCCUGGUGGUCCAGUGGUUAGGACUCUGCCCUUCCGCUGCAGGGAACAUGGGUUCGAUCCCUGGUCAGAGAA
RNAcentral lists this transfer RNA (73 nucleotides) under Ovis aries (sheep). It matches the Rfam family "tRNA". From Rfam's summary of the family: Transfer RNA (tRNA) molecules are approximately 80 nucleotides in length. Their secondary structure includes four short double-helical elements and three loops (D, anti-codon, and T loops). Lineage: Eukaryota; Metazoa; Chordata; Mammalia; Artiodactyla; Bovidae. The record is from Rfam by way of RNAcentral.